UUGUUGGGGUUGUAGGACACUCUAUACGGAGUUACAAAAGAACAUGUUAGACGAAUCAUCUGGAAAGAUGAAUCAAAGAAGGUAAUAAUCCUGUAGUCGAAAACAUAUUCUCUCUUGAGUGGAUCCUGAGUACGACGGAGCACGUGAAAUUCCGUCGGAAUCUGGGAGGACCAUCUCCUAAGGCUAAAUACUCUCUAGUGACCGAUAGUGAACCAGUACCGUGAGGGAAAGGUGAAAAGUACCCCGGAAGGGGAGUGAAAGAGAACUUGAAACCGUGUGCUUACAAGUAGUCAGAGCCCGUUAAUGGGUGAUGGCGUGCCUUUUGUAGAAUGAACCGGCGAGUUACGAUCUGAUGCAAGGUUAAGCAGCAAAUGUGGAGCCGCAGCGAAAGCGAGUCUGAAUAGGGCGUUGAGUAUUUGGUCGUAGACCCGA
RNAcentral lists this ribosomal RNA (432 nucleotides) under Staphylococcus epidermidis. RNAcentral's name for it is "partial 23S ribosomal RNA". It matches the Rfam family "Bacterial large subunit ribosomal RNA", at positions 289 to 718 of the family's 2925-position model. The record is from RNAcentral. Lineage: Bacteria; Bacillati; Bacillota; Bacilli; Caryophanales; Staphylococcaceae.